Acanthochromis polyacanthus (spiny chromis) is the source of this 849-nucleotide long non-coding RNA. RefSeq lists it as uncharacterized. The transcript is spliced from 3 exons. NCBI's taxonomy places the organism in Eukaryota, Metazoa, Chordata, Actinopteri, Pomacentridae. The record is from RefSeq and is a predicted model, not a curated record.
CCCCCCUUGAUCAACAGGGCCGUGCUGGAGACCUUCUUCCAUGUUCCCAAAAUCAACUGGAAGAGGCGGCCAAGACCACAGGGAGAAAAUGGCCAUUUAUCUAUUGACCAAUGCAGACUCGUGGCUUACUGUGUAGUGCUGGAGUGGGCACUCAGAGGAGAGCGUCUUGGUCGUGGGAAUAGGAGAGUGCUGCAUUGUUGUGGCUAUAAGAAACAAGUACCCCUCUCCAACUGGCACUUACGCUGGUUUCAACGACAGAGAAAUAGCUGACGAGAAGCAGCUGAAACCGGUCAUGCAAUCAGUCACCUCCGGCAGAGUCUGAGCAGCUGACAAGCAUUCUCCUGAUUACACACCGACCAUAAAACUCCGGCUCUUCCAGCAACACUCUGCCAGAUCGAUAGACUCGACAUACACAACCCGCUGCUCAGACUCCUGCCAUCUCCUUCUCCCCGGUUUCCCUCCUGGACCCAGUCAUUCCCCGAAAUCAUCUCUCAGCGUCUGAGUUCUCCAGUCCGCCCUGUCUACAGCCCAACCCUCAUUCCCUGCCUUACUCCUGCCACCAGGGAUCCUCAGACCGCCCGGCGCCGCACUCUGUCUCCCCUCCCCGAACCAGCCGCCACCGAUCCCCGGUAGGAACGUCGCCCACCCGGCACCACUCCUCAUCCUCCCCUGACAAGACUCCGGCUCCCCGUCCACCAGAUCUUCUCUCCCUGCAAUAAAUCAUUCAUAGAAACUGCAUCUUGGCCUUGGUGGUAGUUCUCUGCUCAAGUCCGGUCCUGAUUGUGUGACAGUUAUACUUCACUGUAAAAAUCAAUCAUCUAAAAUAAAUUAUUUUUAGAACUACUGUUU